GCUGAAGUUGCCUACCUUCCUUCAUCUUGUUCAUCCAUUCAUACGAACGCCGUGCCGUUCGGUACAUUACUAUGCAAACAGAGCCACCCCAGAUAGUCUUUUCGUCAUUCGAAUGGGCGCCAUGGGAUAACUAUGUGAAAGACUUUGGCUCCGUGGUGAUUGAACUGUGUGUAUAGUAUCUGAGCGCUGUUCGGUGGUAUUGUCCACUCAGAUGUAAGCUAUCUGGGGAUACGUGGGGAUUCUGUUCGGUAGUUUUGGAAUUAUGUAUUUUUAUGCAUUUUUAUUAUCCUUGUAAAACGGUGGUUAUGCU
Pelobates cultripes (western spadefoot toad) is the source of this 310-nucleotide non-coding RNA. The record is from the annotation of a GenBank genome assembly. Lineage: Eukaryota; Metazoa; Chordata; Amphibia; Anura; Pelobatidae.